RNAcentral lists this transfer RNA (88 nucleotides) under Candidatus Nomurabacteria bacterium GWB1_40_6. Its description in RNAcentral is "tRNA-Ser". It matches the Rfam family "tRNA". From Rfam's summary of the family: Transfer RNA (tRNA) molecules are approximately 80 nucleotides in length. Their secondary structure includes four short double-helical elements and three loops (D, anti-codon, and T loops). The record is from RNAcentral. Lineage: Bacteria; Candidatus Nomuraibacteriota.
GGAGGCGUCGCAUAGAGGUUUAGUGCAUCGGUCUUGAAAACCGAAGUCCUGAAAGGGACCGUGAGUUCGAAUCUCACCGCCUCCGCCA